This is a long non-coding RNA of Amphiprion ocellaris (clown anemonefish), 2461 nucleotides long. The record is from Ensembl. NCBI's taxonomy places the organism in Eukaryota, Metazoa, Chordata, Actinopteri, Pomacentridae.
CACACACACACACACACACACACACACACACAUAUAUAUAUAUAUAUAUAUAUAUAUAUAUAUAUAUAUAUAUAUAUAUAUAUAUAUAUAUAUAUAUAUAUAUAUACACACACACACUAAGUUAUGGGGGGGCACGAAAGUUUUUUGUCCUCCGAAGGGGGGCCCGACCGAAAAAAUUUGAGAACCACUGCUUUAGCAUGUUAACAUACUGAUGCUAGCAUGAUAGCGCGAGGACUGGGUCAUUUCUUCUAGGAAAUAUAUCUGAGUUUAAGUUCUAACAUCAAAUGUAUAAAUUUUUGGUUUUUUAAACAAAGUUCACAAGCAAGCUAAUAAGAUGAACGUGCUAACUGGGAGCACAGUACCUCAAUAGCUAAUGUUAGCAAAUGCAUGCUAAUAUUGGCUAAUUUUGGAGAUUGUUAGCAUGCUCCAUGGCCAUGAUCAGAAGUCCCAUUUACAGAGUGCCAAAUUCAUUUCCAUUUCUGAAGCAUAUUGACAUACUAUUUAUUGUUAGCAUGUUAGCAUCGAGGACUGGAUACCAUAUGGAACUGACAACAAAUCAAUACAUUUUUUCUUAUACUUGAGUUUUUAAAGCAAUGAUAACAAGCAAGCUAACAUGGUAAACAUGCACUAACUGGGAGCAUGGUACCUCAUUAGCUAAUCUAAGCAUGCUAACAUUGGUUACUUUUGGAGCUUGUUAGCAUGCUCCAUGGACAUGAUCAGAAGUCCUAUUUGCAGCAUGCCAAAAUCACAUUUCCAAUUACAAUACUAAUGCUAGCAUGUUGACAUAUAAUACUGAUGCUAAAUUAAUACAUUUCUCUUAUUGUUGAUGUUUAUCAAACAGAUAAAAGUGAACAAGCAAGUUAGCAUGAUAAACAUGCGCUAACUGAGAGCCUGAUACCUCAGUAGCUAAUAUUAGUUACUACAUGCUAACACUGGCUACAUUUAGAGCUUGUUAGCAUGCUCCAAAGGCUAAUGUUAAGGGCUAACAGAUGGCGUUAACACAAAUAAACGGUUAAAAUGCAUUGCAGCAUCCAAAUUAGAGUCCAAAAUCAUAUCAUAUAUCACACUGAUACCCAAUUAACACAUUUAAAAACUCAACUUGAGGAAUACAAUUUUUUUAACAAAUUAAAGUUAUCAGUCACAUGAGUUAAAUUUGUCUUAGCACAAAAUGAUACAAGAAUCGUGUCUCAGUAAAGUAGUAAACAACAUGCUAACAUGCUAAGUGUGAGCACGGUAACUCACUAGCUAAUGCUGGCAUGCUAAUGUUCUCCAAAGACUAAUGUUACCAGCUAAAAAUUGAUAUGUUAACUCCAAAACAUUGUCAAUACUCAUGCUAACAUGCUAACUAUGGGCUGGCUAAUGCUACCAUGCUAACACAGUAGCAGCAGUGGGUUAACUUGCUAAAGCUAAACGUGACUUCUGAUGGAUUUCUACUGCAUGCAGAUGAUAAUAUAAGUCAAAGAGGUUUUUAUUAAGUUUUAUUAGACGUCAUCAGCCAGACAGUAGCAACUAAAGAGGAAAUACAGGAUAUAUCUGUGGUAAAACUAAAAAAGUGGUCAUGUUAAACCUGCAACGCUAAGAGGAGAUCAGAAAAAAAACUCAGACAGUUCUUUUAUUCUUCCACAAUGGUCUGAGUACUGAAGUGUAAUCCAUAUUCCAACAAAAACAAGAACAAAAAAGCAGGAAAAUUUGUUGAUUUGAUCAUAAUUUUUUUUUUUUUUUACAUUGAAACAUAGCAUCAAAACAAACAAAUAAUAGGUGAAAUUAGCAGAAAUACAGCAUAGAUAAAUAUCAAAAUCUGGAAUUCGAAGUUUCUGAGUCUGUAUGUUUAGCAUCAGCUAGCUUCACUGUGGUUCAUGCUAAUGGUCCGUUAGCAUUCAUGCAUAUUUGGUGGACAGAUAUCAUGAAAACGCACUUCCAGAAUAACUGUGUAGCUCUCAUUGCCAAAUCCUUCUUUAAUUGCCAAAUUUUCUUGCACUUCUUAUGCACAUAAUGGAUAAAUAUCAGAAUUUAAAAGCGUGUUAGCGUGAAUAUGCAAAAAAAACUGUAGCAAACGUCAAAUGACGUGUUAGCAUUUUGUUAUUUGUGUUGAUUUUUGUUCAUCCAUCGUUGAAAAUGAAGAAUUUGCAAAUAUAUCAUGCACCAUGUUUGCAAAAAACUACAGCACAAAUUGCACAGGAUGACAAAGUGUGAAAAUCAGUAUUAAUAGUGUUUUAAAUCUCAUUCUGACUGUUAAUGUUUUAUUCAUUCUUUGUAAUGUUUUUGCAAUAACCCAGAAGUGUUAAAGUAGCAUAAUAACGUAGGAAACUUGUGAUUUUCCUCAUCCCUGUGAAAUUAAUGCAGAAUUUAAAACUCCUUAAUAAACAUAUCAGACUUUCUUUUGUCAUUAUGUUCAGCAGCAGCGGGAGAAAGUGCCAACAGGAGUGUUUUCUACAAUAAAUACGCUAUUGCUAAACUAUCA